UACGUAGGGUGCAAGCGUUGUCCGGAAUUAUUGGGCGUAAAGAGCUCGUAGGCGGUUUGUUGCGUCGGCUGUGAAAUCCCGAGGCUCAACCUCGGGUCUGCAGUCGAUACGAGCAAACUAGAGUGUUGCAGGGGAGACUGGAAUUCCUGGUGUAGCGGUGAAAUGCGCAGAUAUCAGGAGGAACACCUAUUGCGAAGGCAGCUCGCUGGGACGUAACUGACGCUGAGACGCGAAAGCGUGGGGAGCAAACAGG
This 253-nucleotide ribosomal RNA is filed under the name uncultured bacterium. Its description in RNAcentral is "partial 16S ribosomal RNA". It matches the Rfam family "Bacterial small subunit ribosomal RNA", at positions 524 to 776 of the family's 1533-position model. The record is from RNAcentral.